GGCUGGUCCGAAGGGAGUGAGUUAUCUCACUUGAUUAUUCACAGUCAGUUACAGAUUGAACUCCUUGUUCUACUACUUUCCCCUCUCCUCACUACUGCACUUGACUAGUCUUAA
This is an unclassified non-coding RNA of Microcebus murinus (gray mouse lemur), 114 nucleotides long. It matches the Rfam family "Y RNA". From Rfam's summary of the family: Y RNAs are components of the Ro ribonucleoprotein particle (Ro RNP), in association with Ro60 and La proteins. The Y RNAs and Ro60 and La proteins are well conserved, but the function of the Ro RNP is not known. In humans the RNA component can be one of four small RNAs -- hY1, hY3, hY4 and hY5. NCBI's taxonomy places the organism in Eukaryota, Metazoa, Chordata, Mammalia, Primates, Cheirogaleidae. The record is from Ensembl.